Molecule: transfer RNA, 19 nt
Filed under: Sciodaphyllum magnifolium
Lineage: Eukaryota; Viridiplantae; Streptophyta; Magnoliopsida; Apiales; Araliaceae
Description: Schefflera magnifolia partial tRNA-Leu
Source: RNAcentral
GCCGCUAUGUGAAAUCGGU